CUCUUGUGGCCGGCAUAAUAUUCUCCGUGAUUCUCCUCGCUGGCAUAGUUUUCCUGGCAAGACCAGUGAUGGCAAACUAUCAAGCACGUCAGGUUCAAAUGAAGAAGCAAAGGAACUCCAAUGGGGAAAAUGGCCACACUGAUCCAGAUUG
Molecule: long non-coding RNA, 151 nt
Organism: Clupea harengus (Atlantic herring)
Lineage: Eukaryota; Metazoa; Chordata; Actinopteri; Clupeiformes; Clupeidae
Exons: 3
Source: RefSeq, a predicted model, not a curated record